RNAcentral lists this ribosomal RNA (253 nucleotides) under uncultured bacterium. RNAcentral's name for it is "partial 16S ribosomal RNA". It matches the Rfam family "Bacterial small subunit ribosomal RNA", at positions 524 to 776 of the family's 1533-position model. The record is from RNAcentral.
UACGUAGGGGGCAAGCGUUGUCCGGAAUUAUUGGGCGUAAAGAGCGUGUAGGCGGUCCGGUAAGUCGGCUGUGAAAGUCCAGGGCUCGACCCUGGGAUGCCGGUCGAUACUGCCGGACUAGAGUUCGGAAGAGGCGAGUGGAAUUCCCGGUGUAGCGGUGAAAUGCGCAGAUAUUCGGAGGAACACCAGUGGCGAAGGCGGCUCACUGGUCCAUUACUGACGCUGAGGUGCGAAAGCGUGGGGAGCAAACAGG